Molecule: ribosomal RNA, 253 nt
Filed under: uncultured bacterium
Lineage: Bacteria
Description: partial 16S ribosomal RNA
Rfam family: Bacterial small subunit ribosomal RNA
Source: RNAcentral
UACGGAGGGUGCAAGCGUUGCUCGGAAUCACUGGGCGUAAAGCGCCCGCAGGCGGUCUGACAAGUCGGAUGUGAAAGCCCUGGGCUCAACUCAGGAACAGCAUUCGAAACUGGCAGACUCGAGUACGGGAGAGGGGGGUGGAAUUCCUGGUGUAGGGGUGAAAUUCGUUGAUAUCAGGAGGAACACCGGCGGCGAAGGCAAUCCCCUGGGCCUGCACUGACGCUCAUGCACGAAAGCGUGGGGAGCAAACAGG